RNAcentral lists this ribosomal RNA (816 nucleotides) under uncultured fungus. RNAcentral describes it as "SSU rRNA". It matches the Rfam family "Eukaryotic small subunit ribosomal RNA", at positions 564 to 1390 of the family's 1831-position model. Lineage: Eukaryota; Fungi. The record is from RNAcentral.
GUGCCAGCAGCCGCGGUAAUUCCAGCUCCAAUAGCGUAUAUUAAAGUUGUUGUGGUUAAAAAGCUCGUAGUUGAACCUUGGGCCUGGCUGGCCGGUCCGCCUCACCGCGUGCACUGGUCCGGCCGGGCCUUUCCCUCUGUGGAACCCCAUACCCUUCACUGGGCGUGGCGGGGAAACAGGACAUUUACUUUGAAAAAAUUAGAGUGCUCCAGGCAGGCCUAUGCUCGAAUACAUUAGCAUGGAAUAAUAAAAUAGGACGCGCGGUUCUAUUUUGUUGGUUUAUAGGACCGCCGUAAUGGUUAAUAGGGACAGUCGGGGGCAUCAGUAUUCAACUGUCAGAGGUGAAAUUCUUGGAUCAGUUGAAGACUAACUACUGCGAAAGCAUUUGCCAAGGAUGUUUUCAUUAAUCAGGAACGAAAGUUAGGGGAUCGAAGACGAUCAGAUACCGUCGUAGUCUUAACCAUAAACUAUGCCGACUAGGGAUCGGACGGUGUUAUUCAUGACCCGUUCGGCACCUUACGAGAAAUCAAAGUGCUUGGGCUCCAGGGGGAGUAUGGUCGCAAGGCUGAAACUUAAAGAAAUUGACGGAAGGGCACCACCAGGGGUGGAGCCUGCGGCUUAAUUUGACUCAACACGGGGAAACUCACCAGGUCCAGACACAAUAAGGAUUGACAGAUUGAGAGCUCUUUCUUGAUUUUGUGGUGGUGAUGCAUGACCGUUCUUAGUGGUGGGUGACUUGUCUGCUUAAUUGCGAUAACGAACGAGACCUUAACCUGCUAAAUAGCCCGCAUUGCUCCGGCAGUGCGCUGGCAUACU